AUCGAUAUAAAGACUAUUAUCAAGUACUUAAUGUAGAGAAAAAACAUGAUAGGAACAUCUACUUUGUAAAUCACAUAAUGAGUGAGCCUUAGUUUUAUAAAUUAAGGAGCAAAACAAUUUCGUCCACACUUCAUUCCUUAACAUCCUUUAAACCAGAAUUACAAUCAAUCGAGAAAUCUUCAUGAUGUUGUCAUCAAUUAGGCGUACAAUUUACGUGUUGGAAUUUGAGAAUACGAGGCUUCCAGCAGGACCUUCCUUUGGAGGUAAUGAUCAAAUGGUCAACAAUAUAAGGGUGCAAAAUGAAGUCCAAGCACAACAAAGGUAUAAUUUCCUGCUGGAAAAGUAAAUUUCAUAAUUCUGAAACUACAUAAAAUAAAAAAUGCACUAUGUCAGAUGCUUGCUUUCACCUACAGAAAACAGAAGUCACCAACCACCACAUAGGAAUUGCAUACAUGAAGUUCUUUCCAGUUUGAAAGGCCAAUUAGCUAGAGAACAAAAUAAAAGAAUAAACCAAGGCAGUAUGAUUAGAAAGGAAACAAAAAUAGCAAUAGCGCAUAUUAACUUACCAAUUCAAAAUCAAUUAGUGACUACAACAAAGGACAAGUGGUCGAUUUGCUGAUCUCAUGAGUUCACAAAGCAUGUCUAUGGCAAGCACACAACAGGCAGGCCUGCCAUCACGCACAUAUCAGGAACAUCCGUGGCAGGCAUGCAGGCAGCAAGCACGCCGACCGCGCGCAGGCAGCAAGCACGCCCAAAUCCUCACGCCCGCUUCCCCCCUGCCUCCUCACGCGGCUGCUUUCCCUCGGGGCCUAGCCACCGGUGUACCCCAAACUCGCCGGGUCACCGCGCCACCAAAUCCGUCGGACGCAGUGCCCCUGAAGACCACCCAUCCCGCCGCUAGUCGCUAGCCACAGCCGCGCACAUGCUCCCAAGCCGCCGCGCCACAAAAAUGCGAGAGGAGGGAAGGAAGAGACAAGGGGGAGACGGGAGAAGGGAGGCCGAC
Molecule: long non-coding RNA, 1003 nt
Filed under: Triticum aestivum (bread wheat)
Lineage: Eukaryota; Viridiplantae; Streptophyta; Magnoliopsida; Poales; Poaceae
Description: long non-coding RNA (TAES_LNC025831)
Source: RNAcentral